RNAcentral lists this ribosomal RNA (253 nucleotides) under uncultured bacterium. RNAcentral describes it as "partial 16S ribosomal RNA". It matches the Rfam family "Bacterial small subunit ribosomal RNA", at positions 524 to 776 of the family's 1533-position model. The record is from RNAcentral.
UACAGAGGUCUCAAGCGUUGUUCGGAUUCAUUGGGCGUAAAGGGUGCGUAGGCGGCGCGGUAAGUCGGGUGUGAAAUCUCGGAGCUUAACUUCGAAACUGCAUUCGAUACUGCCGUGCUUGAGGACUGGAGAGGAGACUGGAAUUUACGGUGUAGCGGUGAAAUGCGCAGAUAUCGGGAGGAACACCGGUGGCGAAGGCGGUUCUCUGGGCCUGACCUGACGCUGAGGAGCGAAAGCGUGGGGAGCGAACAGG